Molecule: long non-coding RNA, 2293 nt
Organism: Alligator mississippiensis (American alligator)
Lineage: Eukaryota; Metazoa; Chordata; Crocodylia; Alligatoridae
Exons: 3
Source: RefSeq, a predicted model, not a curated record
CUGGGCCGAGAAUCGUGGGGGAUGCGCCGCGCUGCACCGCUGCCUAGCAGUGUUGUCCGGUAUACCGUAUUGCGCGGUCAUUUCAACCCAUGUAGGAUGCUCAGUCAGUAAUAGUAAAUAAGCAGUGCCUGCCCAGAAGAGCAUGCCAUCCUUUUACCCGUCUCUGAAAUAUGAAACACCAGAACCUGAAGGAAACACGACCACGUCCUGUUUGCCACCAAGCAAGGUCGAGAAAUGAAUGUCAGGGAAACAAAAACGUAUGGAUUCCUGUCAGUUGAAACUUAUCCUAGUCAAAACAUGUGAAAUAAGAGCUUUUGGUUAAUGGCAUUUAUUGAGGAAACUGGAAAACAAUUAAAUGAAAAGGGAUUCACAUCUGGAAGACAUUGCUGGGACAUAGAGGUGGAGUACACAGGAGACAAGUGUGGAAGUAGCCAGAGCCUGUGCAGUGGAAAGGAAGCAUCAUUCUUAAUCCUGAGGGGAUCUGGGCUGUGCAGAAGUAGGAGGGUAAGUACCAGGCUCUCACCUUCCCUGAAUCUGUCCUGUCCCUGAACCAAGCCCUCAGUAAGAUGUGGGUCUCUAGAUGAUGAUGAGGACAAGUGGCAUUUUUUGAUGCUAGUAAUGACGCCCUGAUCUUCAAGUUCCCACUAGGCUCAUUUGCUGGGGAAAGAGUCCACCCUUGGCUCUGGGUGGGGAGAUCCCCCUUCACGCUGUGUCCCUGAGACCUGUCAGGGGGCAGUAUCCCCUGAGGAUGCUGAUGUUGGCCUCUGUUGUUCCAGAAAACCCAGUCUCUGUGACUCUUGAGGACUCCUGCUUUCCUACUCACCUUCUUUCCAUGGUUAUGACUCUGGAGGUUCAGGUGUGGGUCUGUGGGCUAGUAAAGCAGAGAGUAGGAAGUGCUUGUGAUGGAGAAGCUGAUCUCUUUGCUCUAUGAAUUAUUUAACCUGAUGUCACCAUCCUCUAUGGUCCAGAGGGAUUUCAGCAACUGUAUAUUCUCUGACUAGAAGUUGGGAAUCUACAGCAAGUGAUUGGAAGUGAAAAGAAAAGACACCAGUCCCAGUGACAGGGGGUGGGGGUUAGGGUUAGGGGGAUAGUGAAAUAAUCUUAAACAUGGUUGUCUCCUUCAGUUGCAACAUUUGUUUAUUGAGUGCAUUAGCUCAUGAAAUGUGGAGCCAGUUCAGUAUAUUAAAAGGACUUGUGUCCAAGUUUUGCACCUUUAUUCACCUCUGAUGAAAAGAUCACUCCUAAGUUUAUUGAAUCCCUCAGGUGUAUGAUGAAUAAAAUGUUUUUGUUGUUGUCAUUUUAAAUAUAUAACUAUUGUUAUCUCUUUGCUUCCUGGCUUAUAUAUAUAUAUCACUAUUCAUUCCCCCAACCCCACUUUGAUUAUUUUCUUUUUGCUAAAAUUUUAGUGGGAGCAAGCAGGGCCAGGGGACUUGACUUUUUCCUGUACAAAAUGCCAUGAAGUUUCCUAAAGGCAAUCAGGACUCGUAGUAGAGAUGAUAUCUUUUAUUAGACCAACAAGAUUUUUCCAAAAAAAAAUUAUUUACUUGCAAAAUUUCAGGCACAAACACCUUUCAUCAGGCAUUGAAGAAAAGAUUGUAAAAGUUCUCCUGGGUAGAACUGAAAGUUCAUAUUUCAUAGCAUUUCACAGAGGAGUCAAUACAUGGAAAACUCCUCUGGGCAGUCAGUUCAUAGCUGGUAUGGAGUCUCUCACCUUCUGUGAGGAUCUGUGAUGAUGAUGCAAAUUACCUUGAAACAAAGGCAGGAGCAGGAUCUCAGGUUUCAGGUGGUCACAGUUGCUUCCUGCUUGGGAAAAUAUGAAGAUUUCAUUAAAAAAAUUGGCUAAAAUUCAAUAUCUUUUACGUGUCAGGUAUCCAGGUUGUAGCUGUAUUGGUCUAGAGGAAAAGGCAAUCGGGCCUUGUAGUAGAGAUGAUAUCUUUUAUUAGACCGACAAGAUUUUUGCAAAAAAAAAUUCUUUAAUUGAAAGCUUUCAGGCACAAACACCCUUCAUCAGGCACUGGAGAAAAGAUUGUAAAAGUUCUCCUGGGUAUAGGAAACUCGUGAAGUUUCCUAUACUGGGGUUAUAGGUACUAGUGGUGCACCAAUACAUCAGUCCCAGUUGGAUCGACACCAAUAUGAGGAAAAUUGAGAGGAUCAGUAAUCAGUUUUUUUGUGUGAUGUGGCUGAUAAUGUGACUGAUAAAUGCUGCAUGCAUGCGUGCAGCCCCAGCGCAGCACGCAGGCAGCCAGGAAUGCAGCCCUGCAGCAUGGAGAGCAGCCAAGUCCAGCUAGUAAGU